This is a long non-coding RNA of Eriocheir sinensis (Chinese mitten crab), 978 nucleotides long. RefSeq lists it as uncharacterized. The record is from RefSeq and is a predicted model, not a curated record. The transcript is spliced from 3 exons. NCBI's taxonomy places the organism in Eukaryota, Metazoa, Arthropoda, Malacostraca, Decapoda, Varunidae.
GACACAGAGCAAUUUUAAUAGUGUGUUAAUGUAGUUAGUUUAUAUAGGUCUGGUGUCUGUGAGGUGAUGUGAGCUCUCGAGAAUCUUAGGCGGCAAAGAACACCAAGGAGGAGAUAAGAGUGUGCCAUUAACAGGUCCUAUGAAGUGUUCUGUACAUUAUGGAGGUGCUAUUUGAGGUCUGGUGUCUGCGAGGUGAUGUGAGCUCUCGAGAAUCUUAGGCGGGAAAGAACACCAAGGAGGAGAUAAGAUUGUGCCAUUAACAGGUCCUAUGAAGUGUUCUGCACAUUAUGGAGGUGUGAUCUGAGGCCUUGUGGUUAUCUUACAGGUUUUAUUAUGUGUGCUGUGUCUUGUGGGACUGUAACUUGAGGCCUUAUGGGUAGCAGUGGAUGAUGAAAUAGCACUUUGUUUUCUUUACAGUACAGGAAGCAGCUCAAGGGCAGAGCCAAAUGAAAAAAUAGUCUGCUAAUCACUGCUCCAAUAUAAGAAGUAAGCAUAGAUGAGUGCCCAAGAGAGAGGUUGAUUUCAGGAUGCAGUGCUUGGGGAUACAAUGUGAAGACUUCCAGAUUAAAUUGCAACACCCAGCACAUGAACAAAGACUUCCUCAUCUCUUUAACCUCAAUUUCUUACUUCAGAGGCGACGACAAAAUAGUGAUACCAGUGCUGGGGGGUCGUGUGUGACAGGUUAGGUUAGGUUAGGUUAGGUUUAAGACCGGCACCAUACACAUCUUCCCCUACACUAAACACACACACACACACAUACACACAACACAACACACAUACGUACACUACCCCAGAUAAUGCAAGUCCCUUAUUAACACACAUCCCACACAGCACAUGCACCUUCCUAGGCUACAAUUUGACCCUAUCCACCCACGCCAGGCACUCUGAAGGGGUCAACAAUUGGGUCUUGCCAGUAUUAGGGUACAAAACUAUAACACCUUCACUCAAGACCAUUAAUGUGACACUGCAACUGGCACU